RNAcentral lists this long non-coding RNA (201 nucleotides) under Elaeis guineensis (African oil palm). RNAcentral describes it as "long non-coding RNA (EGUI_LNC072657)". Lineage: Eukaryota; Viridiplantae; Streptophyta; Magnoliopsida; Arecales; Arecaceae. The record is from RNAcentral.
ACUAUCCUGGUCAAGGUUUUCCUAAAUUGAAACACGACUGUACAUAGCUCCUAAACUAGAGUGGUCAAUCCCAUCUUGACACACGCACCGACAAGUCAAGUACUUGACUACACCCAGCAGCCUUCCGUCACUGAAUUAGAAAUUCAGGUAGUCCAGUGCCUAAGUGCAGUGAGUUGCUUGCAAGUCACCGUGGUGGUCUCA